Molecule: unclassified non-coding RNA, 336 nt
Filed under: soil metagenome
Description: partial contains 5.8S ribosomal RNA, internal transcribed spacer 2, and large subunit ribosomal RNA
Rfam family: 5.8S ribosomal RNA (bases 1-120)
Source: RNAcentral
GAUGAAGAACGUAGCGAAAUGCGAUAAGUAGUGUGAAUUGCAGAAUUCAGUGAAUCAUCGAAUCUUUGAACGCACAUUGCGCCCCUUGGUAUUCCAUGGGGCAUGCCUGUUCGAGCGUCAUUUGUACCUUCAAGCCUUGCUUGGUGUUGGGUGUUUGUCUCGCCUCUGCGCGCAGACUCGCCUCAAAACAAUUGGCAGCCGGCGUAUUGAUUUCGGAGCGCAGUACAUCUCGCGCUUUGCACUCAGAACGACGACGUCCAAAAGUACAUUUUACACUCUUGACCUCGGAUCAGGUAGGGAUACCCGCUGAACUUAAGCAUAUCAAUAAGCGGAGGA